Molecule: long non-coding RNA, 250 nt
Organism: Bubalus bubalis (water buffalo)
Lineage: Eukaryota; Metazoa; Chordata; Mammalia; Artiodactyla; Bovidae
Exons: 2
Source: RefSeq, a predicted model, not a curated record
UCUCCCGCCCCCAGCCUAGACACACACGCAGAGCAGGCCUUCACCCCAGCCCCUCCCCUGGCCUCCCCGCGGGCCAGGGGGACGCGGUCGCCAGCCGGUUGGGUGAUUAACUUACCGUUUGUCUUUCGGAAAGUGUUCAGAUAUUAUUCUUCCAUAUAAAAUGACCCCAACUAGAUAUAGGAACCAUUCAAGAGACUUACCCCUGGAGGAGGAAAUGGCAACCCACUCCAAUAUUCUUGCCUGGGAAAUC